GGAUCAUUAAAAGUAUAUAGUUAUACAUUCUCUGUAUCGACUGAAUAUACCCAUUCUGAGUACCUUGCCUGUUGCUUCCAUGGAGCAUGACAAAUGUCACUCUGGGGAUUUACAUCCCGAGGGAGCCUCAGUGGAAGGUAAUCAAUUAACCCUUGAAUCCAAUGUCAUCUGUCUGAUAAUGUUUAUAACAAAUGUUAAAACUUUCAACAACGGAUCUCUUGGUUCUCGCAUCGAUGAAGAACGCAGCGAAAUGCGAUAAGUAGUGUGAAUUGCAGAAUUCAGUGAAUCAUCGAAUCUUUGAACGCACAUUGCGCCUCCUGGUAUUCCGGGAGGCAUGCCUGUUCGAGCGUCAUUAAAUACCACUCAAGCUCUUCUGCUUGGUCAUGGAAGAAGAGUAUGCUUGCAUCCUCUCUUCUGAAAUUGAAUGGCGGACCGCCUCAUGUGCCUCGCGUAGUAAGUUCAUCUUUUCGCUUGGAGUGUGAGACAGUCUCGCCAUCAACCCCCAUACUUCUAAGGUUGACCUCGGAUCAGG
RNAcentral lists this ribosomal RNA (532 nucleotides) under uncultured fungus. RNAcentral describes it as "eukaryotic LSU rRNA". The stretch from base 199 to 352 matches the Rfam family "5.8S ribosomal RNA". The record is from RNAcentral. Lineage: Eukaryota; Fungi.